RNAcentral lists this ribosomal RNA (478 nucleotides) under Ikedosoma gogoshimense. RNAcentral describes it as "partial 16S rRNA". It matches the Rfam family "Bacterial large subunit ribosomal RNA", at positions 1828 to 2597 of the family's 2925-position model. The record is from RNAcentral. Lineage: Eukaryota; Metazoa; Annelida; Polychaeta; Echiuroidea; Thalassematidae.
CUCCUGACGACGACAAAAUGUCAGGUAUCCCCUGCCCAAUGAAUGUUUUUUUAAAUGGCCGCGCGAGUGCGAAGGUAGCAAAAUAAAUUGCCACUUAAUUGGUGGCUGGCAUGAAUGGGGGGACAAAAGGAUGCCUGUCUCUAAUAGGUACGUAUAAAAUACCCUUUAAGUGAAAAGGCUUAAAUUAACUUAAAAGACAAAAAGACCCUGUCGCACUUAAUACAAAUUUAGUUUUUUUUGCUAAGUAGUAUUUCGUUGGGAUGACGCCUGAUAAAAAAAAAACACCAGUUUUUUUUAAAUAAAAAAGCUUAAUUAAAUGACCCUACUAAGAUCAUAUAAUAAGCCACCGCAGGGAUAACAGGCUAAUUUUCCUACUAGAGCCCCAAUCGACUAGGAAGCUUGGCACCUCGAUGUUGGCUUAAAGUUCCCCCUAGAUGCANAAGUCUAGCGGGGGGGUUUGUUCAACCUUUAUAUCUUU